Molecule: long non-coding RNA, 690 nt
Organism: Anolis carolinensis (green anole)
Lineage: Eukaryota; Metazoa; Chordata; Lepidosauria; Squamata; Anolidae
Exons: 3
Source: RefSeq, a predicted model, not a curated record
GACCUAUUAGAUCACCACCAAAAAGGAGGAAGACCUAAUGUCCUGGAAUAAUGUCCUGGAAGAUGCUAAACACGCUCUACUGAGCUACAGGGCUAAAUGCAUCAACAGACCCUGAAGUAAAUUCCAGAUCCCAAUGUUAUCAGAUGCAUGUGGGACUCCGUCCAAAGUUUUCUUCCAGAAAGACACCCUAUUAAAUUUCCUGAAUAAGGCUAGCCAAACUUACAAUUUUUUCUUUAUUUCUUUUAAGAUAGAAAGAUAGAAGGUAGUAUGGUGGUGAAAGAGGCAUUGUGUUUCUAUCUAAAGGAAAAAUCUUCUGGAUGAGGUGACCUAGAUGGACAUGGAGCUCCUGAAUAUGGAAUUGCUGUUCAUAACAGCAGUUAGUACUGAAUGAAGGCUAUCCAACUCCUCUCCCCUGGGGAGUUUACAGACAGUGGCAGAUUGAAAGUCUUGGUGUGGGUUCAAGACGGGUUUCUUGAAUGUCGCCUGAAUUUGGUCUCUCAGAAGAGGACAUCACCAUACACAGGCAUGUCAAGCUGAUGAAACCACAACACAUUCCAAAAUCAGACAGCACCCGUAGAAAGUUGUGCAAAUGUUUCCAGGCCACAUACAUAAGCCUUAGGAAUACUAAGAAAAACAAAGUUGGUCAUUAAGCUCUGCUGGUUGAAUAAACAUGGCCACUGGAGCAUUUCA